UACGAAGGGGGCUAGCGUUGCUCGGAAUCACUGGGCGUAAAGCGCACGUAGGCGGAUUGCUAAGUCAGGGGUGAAAUCCUGGAGCUCAACUCCAGAACUGCCUUCGAUACUGGCGAUCUUGAGUCCGGGAGAGGUGAGUGGAACUCCGAGUGUAGAGGUGAAAUUCGUAGAUAUUCGGAAGGACACCAGUGGCGAAGGCGGCUCACUGGCCCGGUACUGACGCUGAGGUGCGAAAGCGUGGGGAGCAAACAGG
Molecule: ribosomal RNA, 253 nt
Filed under: uncultured bacterium
Lineage: Bacteria
Description: partial 16S ribosomal RNA
Rfam family: Bacterial small subunit ribosomal RNA
Source: RNAcentral